Long non-coding RNA from Alexandromys fortis (reed vole), 490 nucleotides. RefSeq lists it as uncharacterized. The transcript is spliced from 3 exons. The record is from RefSeq and is a predicted model, not a curated record. Lineage: Eukaryota; Metazoa; Chordata; Mammalia; Rodentia; Cricetidae.
UGCAGGUAAAAUGUGAUUAGCAGCCAGAAGCAGCUUUUACUUUGAAGACCAGGGAAGCCAUUUGGAGAACGUGACACCUGGCUUCACUGUGAAGCUUCCAAAAGGAACCAGCAAGGGAGACUGAGCGCGAUGAGCAAGGCUGGGUUCGUUCUGUGUGUACUGGGAGUCAGCACUGGCUUAGGGGCAGCAUGACUGGAUACUGGACAAACUUCCUGAUGGCUGUCAUUUCAUCCUCACCACAGUCUGCAGAGCUGGGGGAGACAGCGUCGGAUGGCAGAGAUUUACCUUUGGGACAAGUCCAUUAUGCCAAGACUUGGGACUUUGAAGACUGGCUAGUCCCAGCGUCAUGUGGGGACCAGAGAUGAUCAUGAAGUCACCUCCACUCCUCGUCCACCAUCACAGCGUUGUGCUUCUCUCUUUAAACAGGGGGUGGGGGGUGACCACAUCCAUUGACCAUGGGCUGUCAGCUAUUAAAGAAAGAUGAACCCGA